RNAcentral lists this ribosomal RNA (219 nucleotides) under uncultured bacterium. RNAcentral's name for it is "partial 16S ribosomal RNA". It matches the Rfam family "Bacterial small subunit ribosomal RNA", at positions 111 to 334 of the family's 1533-position model. The record is from RNAcentral.
UAAUGUAUGGGGAUCUGCCCGAUAGAGGGGGGUAACUACUGGAAACGGUGGCUAUACCGCAUAAUGUCUACGGACCAAAGCAGGGGCUCUUCGGACCUUGCACUAUCGGAUGAACCCAUAUGGGAUUAGCUAGUAGGUGGGGUAAAGGCUCACCUAGGCGACGAUCUCUAGCUGGUCUGAGAGGAUGAUCAGCCACACUGGGACUGAGACACGGCCCAG